CGACGUGGGUAACCUGCCUCAUACAGGGGGAUAGCAGCUGGAAACGGCUGAUAAAACCGCAUAAGCGCACAGCAUCGCAUGAUGCAGUGUGAAAAACUCCGGUGGUAUGAGAUGGACCCGCGUCUGAUUAGCUGGUUGGUGAGGUAACGGCCCACCAAGGCGACGAUCAGUAGCCGGCCUGAGAGGGUGACCGGCCACAUUGGGACUGAGACACGGUCCAA
RNAcentral lists this ribosomal RNA (221 nucleotides) under uncultured bacterium. Its description in RNAcentral is "partial 16S ribosomal RNA". It matches the Rfam family "Bacterial small subunit ribosomal RNA", at positions 113 to 334 of the family's 1533-position model. The record is from RNAcentral.